RNAcentral lists this ribosomal RNA (501 nucleotides) under uncultured bacterium. Its description in RNAcentral is "partial 16S ribosomal RNA". It matches the Rfam family "Bacterial small subunit ribosomal RNA", at positions 899 to 1397 of the family's 1533-position model. The record is from RNAcentral.
ACUCAAAUGAAUUGACGGGGACCCGCACAAGCGGUGGAGCAUGUGCAUUAAUACGUCACAAACCGUAGAACCUUACCAGGGUUUGACAUCCUCUGACAGCCUGUGAAAGCAGGUUUUCUUCGCAAGAAGACAGAGAGACAGGUGUUGCAUGGCUGUCGUCAGCUCGUGUCGUGAGAUGUUGGGUUAAGUCCCGCAACGAGCGCAACCCUCACCCUAUGUUGCCAGCGUAAAGACGGGAACUCUUAGGGAACUGCCCGUGUAAGCGGGAGGAAGGUGGGGAUGACGUCAAGUCAGCAUGGCCCUUACAUCCUGGGCUUGACACAUGCUACAAUGGCCGUUAAACAAAGGGAAGCAAUACCGCGAGGUGGAGCCAAUCUCAAAAAUACGGUCUCAGUUCGGAUUGCAGGCUGCAACUCGCCUGCAUGAAGUCGGAAUCGCUAGUAACCGCCGGUCAGCUAAACGGCGGUGAAUACGUUCCCGGGUCUUGUACACACCGCCCGU